This 1340-nucleotide ribosomal RNA is filed under the name Acinetobacter baumannii. RNAcentral's name for it is "bacterial LSU rRNA". It matches the Rfam family "Bacterial large subunit ribosomal RNA", at positions 1 to 1368 of the family's 2925-position model. The record is from RNAcentral. Lineage: Bacteria; Pseudomonadati; Pseudomonadota; Gammaproteobacteria; Moraxellales; Moraxellaceae.
GUUGUAUAGUCAAGUAAUUAAGUGCAUGUGGUGGAUGCCUUGGCAGUCAGAGGCGAUGAAAGACGUGAUAGCCUGCGAAAAGCUCCGGGGAGGCGGCAAAUAUCCUUUGAUCCGGAGAUGUCUGAAUGGGGGAACCCACCUACUUUAAGGUAGGUAUUGCAACAUGAAUACAUAGUGUUGCAAGGCGAACGAGGGGAAGUGAAACAUCUCAGUACCCUUAGGAAAAGAAAUCAAUUGAGAUUCCCUCAGUAGCGGCGAGCGAACGGGGAUCAGCCCAUUAAGUUAUGUGUGUUUUAGUGGAACGCUCUGGGAAGUGCGAACGUAGAGGGUGAUAUUCCCGUACACGAAAGGGCACACAUAAUGAUGACGAGUAGGGCGAGGCACGUGAAACCUUGUCUGAAUAUGGGGGGACCAUCCUCCAAGGCUAAAUACUCCUGACUGACCGAUAGUGAACCAGUACCGUGAGGGAAAGGCGAAAAGAACCCCUGUGAGGGGAGUGAAAUAGAUCCUGAAACCGCAUGCAUACAAGCAGUGGGAGCACCUUCGUGGUGUGACUGCGUACCUUUUGUAUAAUGGGUCAGCGACUUAUAUUCAGUAGCAAGGUUAACCGUAUAGGGGAGCCGUAGAGAAAUCGAGUCUUAAUAGGGCGUUUAGUUGCUGGGUAUAGACCCGAAACCAGGCGAUCUAUCCAUGAGCAGGUUGAAGGUUGGGUAACACUAACUGGAGGACCGAACCCACUGUCGUUGAAAAGCCAGGGGAUGACUUGUGGAUAGGGGUGAAAGGCUAAUCAAGCCUGGUGAUAGCUGGUUCUCCCCGAAAGCUAUUUAGGUAGCGCCUCGGACGAAUACCAUAGGGGGUAGAGCACUGUUUCGGCUAGGGGGUCAUCCCGACUUACCAAACCGAUGCAAACUCCGAAUACCUAUGAGUACUAUCCGGGAGACAGACUGCGGGUGCUAACGUCCGUAGUCAAGAGGAAAACAAUCCAGACCGCCAGCUAAGGCCCCAAAAUCAUAGUUAAGUGGGAAACGAUGUGGGAAGGCAUAGACAGCUAGGAGGUUGGCUUAGAAGCAGCCACCCUUUAAAGAAAGCGUAAUAGCUCACUAGUCGAGUCGGCCUGCGCGGAAGAUGUAACGGGGCUAAAACUAUGUGCCGAAGCUGCGGAUNNNNNNNNNNNNNNNNNNUUGACAUUAGUCAAGUGGUAGGGGAGCGUUCUGUAAGCCGAUGAAGGUGUAUUGAGAAGUAUGCUGGAGGUAUCAGAAGUGCGAAUGCUGACGUGAGUAACGACAAAACGGGUGAAAAACCCGUUCGCCGAAAGACCAAGGGUUCCAGUCCAACGUUAA